ACACGACUACAUUAGAUACCCCUGUAGUCCAGGGUGUAAACGCUGCGGGCUUGGUGUUGGGGGUCCUUUGAGGGCGCCCAGUGCCGGAGAGAAGUUGUUAAGCCUGCUGCUUGGGGAGUACGUCCGCAAAGGAUGAAACUUAAAGGAAUUGGCGGGGGAGCACCGCAACGGGAGGAGCGUGCGGUUCAAUUGGAUUCAACGCCGGACAACUCACCAGGAGCGACGGUUACAUGAAGGCCAGGCUGAUGACCUUGCCUGAUUUUUCCG
RNAcentral lists this ribosomal RNA (267 nucleotides) under uncultured archaeon. Its description in RNAcentral is "partial 16S ribosomal RNA". It matches the Rfam family "Archaeal small subunit ribosomal RNA", at positions 717 to 982 of the family's 1478-position model. The record is from RNAcentral.